GUUAUCAUUCUUUUUUUUUGCCGAUUUCCACAGUUAUAUUUUUCGAUUCGCGUUCCUCUCUUUUUCUGUUGGUCCAUCCAAUUUCCGUCUAUUCUGACUAAUCAAACGAUCUCAACUCAAUCAAAACAUCAGUCUCAUUGUCUA
Molecule: non-coding RNA, 144 nt
Organism: Caenorhabditis elegans
Lineage: Eukaryota; Metazoa; Nematoda; Chromadorea; Rhabditida; Rhabditidae
Source: Ensembl